AAGAUGCUUUACGCACACAGACACACCCAGCUUAAGGCCUGUCAGUCUGGUAUAUAAGUCAGCUGCAACAGGUACACCAUAAAAAGCAACCUCACUGUCAAAGACUCACCUACAGACUGCUGCUGCUGAGUUUCAUAACAGAGAAAAUGAAAGCUCAGAUUUUGAUCCUGCUCUUUGCUCUUGUGGUCGUGCUUGAAGCGGCACCCACUGCUGACGGCGAUGGUGAUACUGAUGUGAUUCCAGAGGAUGUGGCCCUGGACGGAUUGCUCCAAGAUAAAGCGCCAGUUGACAAUGUUGACAAAAUUGCCGAGGAUUUUGAAGGAGAAGACAGUUUCAAGGACUUGCCAUGAGAGGAAAAAGAAACAGCUUUGAAAACAGACUCAGCCAAAAGAUGUCGAAUAAAUAAAGACAAUAAAUAAAUGCAUGUCCCUCUGUUGA
Long non-coding RNA from Toxotes jaculatrix (banded archerfish), 438 nucleotides. RefSeq lists it as uncharacterized. The record is from RefSeq and is a predicted model, not a curated record. Lineage: Eukaryota; Metazoa; Chordata; Actinopteri; Toxotidae. The transcript is spliced from 4 exons.